AUGCCUGAAGGUGCAGAAAGUGAGACUACCACUGUAUUCCUUAUGGAUUCACUGAAUUUGCAUGAUCCAAAAGCUACUUUUGAUCACACUCAAAGAUUCUUAAGAGAAAUGCUGGAUAUCCACAGUGCAAUCAUGAUGAAAGAAGUUGAGGUUCUACAUCAGGGAGACAAUGUGGACUGUGCUCUUUUUAGUUUGUAUAAUAUUCAGAAAAUCAUUACACAAGUCAGAGAUGAGCUUCUGCUGGAAGAAAUUAUUCAGGUUUUGUCUGCUAGACCAUUUUCUGGCCCAUAG
Molecule: ribosomal RNA, 291 nt
Filed under: Triticum aestivum (bread wheat)
Lineage: Eukaryota; Viridiplantae; Streptophyta; Magnoliopsida; Poales; Poaceae
Description: partial small subunit ribosomal RNA
Source: RNAcentral